CAGAGCUCUGGGCAAAGCUCGGUGAGAUGAAUGGAGCUGUCACUGGAUAAAGGGAGAUUCCCGGACAGCACAUCCUUGUCAACACUCUCUCCUGUGUCACCGCAGAUGCUGGGACGAGGCACAGCAGAGGCCAUGGGACCUGGUCAAAGCGAGACUUCUUCCUUGGCCCAUUUUGAUUUCUUUUUUGUUGUCGUCGUUGAGACAGAGUCUAGCUUUGUCGCCCAGGCUGGAGUGCAGUGGCGUGAUCUCAGCACACUGCAACCUUUACAUCCUGGAUUCAAGUGAUUCUCCUGCCUCAGCCUCCCGAGUAGCUGGGAUUACAGGUGCCUGCCAUCAUGCCCAGCUAAUUUUUGUAUUUUUAGUAGAGACGGGGUUUCACCAUGUUGGCCAGGCUGGUCUCGAACUCCUGACUUCAGGUGAUCCACUCGCCUUGGCCUCCCAAAGUGCUGGGAUUACAGGCAUGAGCCACUGCGCCCGGCCUCCCACUUUGAUUUCUGAACCUUUUGGGUAACAUCUCCUUCCCUCACAUUUCUUGUGUGUUGAGGUCUUUUGUUCAGGCUUUCAGUGGAUGAAAGGACAGAGGAGGAAACAGCUGUGGGAAGAGCAGCUGCUGUGCCUCCCUGCCUCUCUGCUUGGCCACAGCUCCCCUCCCUCUCUGGCUGCCCUAGCACUGAACUCUGAUCUUCAGCAGUGAGACCUAGUACCUGCCUCCGCCUCACUGGGAAGCAAAGCCGCAGAGCAGGUGCAGCUGUGUGUGGCAUGGCCAGCCACAAGCCAGAAAAACCAGCAAACCAGGGCCGGGAACAAUACUUCCUGGGACCAGCCCCGGGGACCACUUUGGAAAUGAGCAUGGCAGAGGCAGCCACAGGUGGAGCAAACGGUUCGGGCUGAGAGAAGUCCCCACCCUCGCAUCAGUGGAAAGCAUGCAGAAAGACAGCCUGUGAGCAGAAAAAGGAGCGGCCAGAUUCCCAAGUCCGCACACCGUGGAGAGAGGAAAGCUCUAAGCAGCCAUUCCCUGGAUGACCUUGCCUUCAGAGCAGUGGAAUUUUAACUAGGAAAUACUGAAGUCAUGAGGAGUUGGCAGAAGCCGCCCAAGCUGCUCAGUCAUAAGCUGCGGAACAACCGGAGAGGCUGUGAGAAGCCACAUGCAAGCCGCAAUUACGAGGGAGGUGCAAAUAGAAGAAGGCUGUGAAGUCAAGAAAAGCCACGUGGUGCAGGGUGAGGAGGCCGGGGGGUGGGAAGAUGAGAACAGGGGACCAGUGACAUUAACGCUGGGAAGAGAGCUGCAGUCCCGACCUUCCCGUGGCCUCACUUCUGUCUCUUCCCUUCCUGAGGUCAGAUUGCUCUGCUUUGCCUGGCUUCCACGUUGGAACCUCCUCAUGCUAAAUCUGUACUUCAGAUGUUGAGUAAGUCUCCAUUCUUCACCAUAAAAAGGACAGAACUCAAAUGCUCUUGCUUUUUUGAUUAAUAGACUCUUAAUUUUCGAGAUGGAGUUUUGCUCGUCUUCCCCAGGCUGGAGUGCAAUGGUGUGAUCUCGGCUCACUGCAACCUCCACCUCCCGGGUUCAAGCAAUUCUCCUGCCUCAGCCUCCCGAGUAGCUGGGAUUACAGGCGCCCACCAUCACGUCCAGCUACUUUUUUGUAUUUUUAGUAGAGAUGGGGUUUCACCAUGUUGGCCAGGCUGGUCUUGAACUCCUGACCUCAGGUGAUCCACCUGCCUCGCUAGGAUUACGGGUGUGUAAUCCCUAAGGUGCUGGGAUUACAGGCGUGAGCCACCACGCCUGGCCAAUAGACUUCAUUUUUUAGAGCGGUUUUAGGUUCACAGCAAAAUUGAGCCCAAAGGACAGAGUUCCUGUAUACCCCUCACUCCCCACUGCUACCCCUGUUAUUAACAUCUCCUGUCAGUGUGGUCUCUUUGUUAUGACUGAUGAGUCAAUGUUGAUACAGUCUUAUUCACUAAAGUCCAUCGUUUAUUUUAUUUAUUUAUUUAUUUUAUUUUUUUGAGACGGAGUCUCGCUCUGUUGCCCAGGCUGGAGUGCAGUGGCG
Molecule: long non-coding RNA, 2045 nt
Filed under: Homo sapiens (human)
Lineage: Eukaryota; Metazoa; Chordata; Mammalia; Primates; Hominidae
Description: HSALNT0001365
Source: RNAcentral